CCGUGCACAUCGCCGAAUUCUGCCGGUGCCCGGGGCCCCCAGACAUAUCGCUCGGCAGAAGCGGGGGAACCAUGAACGGUCCCUCCCCCGGGACCUAGGGGUUAAGUCGUCAGGGCCCCCGUCCUGACGACCGGGUGUCUCCCACCCGCAUCCGACAGCUCACCUCGCAGGCAAGAGGGAGGACAU
RNAcentral lists this small RNA (186 nucleotides) under Kocuria rosea subsp. polaris. RNAcentral's name for it is "Kocuria polaris c-di-AMP sequence". It matches the Rfam family "c-di-AMP riboswitch aptamer (ydaO/yuaA leader)". Rfam says of the family: This family represents a conserved RNA structure found upstream of the ydaO and yuaA genes in Bacillus subtilis and related genes in other bacteria. The ydaO/yuaA element is thought to act as a genetic "off" switch for the ydaO and yuaA genes in its native state. Lineage: Bacteria; Bacillati; Actinomycetota; Actinomycetes; Micrococcales; Micrococcaceae. The record is from RNAcentral.